RNAcentral lists this ribosomal RNA (506 nucleotides) under uncultured bacterium. RNAcentral's name for it is "partial 16S ribosomal RNA". It matches the Rfam family "Bacterial small subunit ribosomal RNA", at positions 30 to 523 of the family's 1533-position model. The record is from RNAcentral.
AUUGAACGCUGGCGGUAUGCUUAACACAUGCAAGUCGAACGGCAGCACAGGAGAGCUUGCUCUCUGGGUGGCGAGUGGCGGACGGGUGAGGAAUACAUCGGAAUCUACUUUUUCGUGGGGGAUAACGUAGGGAAACUUACGCUAAUACCGCAUACGACCUACGGGUGAAAGCAGGGGAUCUUCGGACCUUGCGCGAUUGAAUGAGCCGAUGUCGGAUUAGCUAGUUGGCGGGGUAAAGGCCCACCAAGGCGACGAUCCGUAGCUGGUCUGAGAGGAUGAUCAGCCACACUGGAACUGAGACACGGUCCAGACUCCUACGGGAGGCAGCAGUGGGGAAUAUUGGACAAUGGGCGCAAGCCUGAUCCAGCCAUACCGCGUGGGUGAAGAAGGCCUUCGGGUUGUAAAGCCCUUUUGUUGGGAAAGAAAAGCAGUCGGUUAAUACCCGAUUGUUCUGACGGUACCCAAAGAAUAAGCACCGGCUAACUUCGUGCCAGCCGCCGCCGUAA